CCCAGACUCCUACGGGAGGCAGCAGUGGGGAAUAUUCGGCAAUGGGCGCAAGCCUGACCCAGCAACGCCGCGUGAAGGAAGAAGGCUUUCGGGUUGUAAACUUCUUUUGUCAGGGACGAAGCAAGUGACGGUACCUGACGAAUAAGCCACGGCUAACUACGUGCCAGCAGCCGCGGUAAUACGUAGGUGGCAAGCGUUAUCCGGAUUUAUUGGGUGUAAAGGGCGUGUAGGCGGGAAUGCAAGUCAGAUGUGAAAACUAUGGGCUCAACCCAUAGCCUGCAUUUGAAACUGUAUUUCUUGAGUGCUGGAGAGGCAAUCGGAAUUCCGUGUGUAGCGGUGAAAUGCGUAGAUAUACGGAGGAACACCAGUGGCGAAGGCUGAUUGCUGGACAGUAACUGACGCUGAGGCGCGAAAGCGUGGGGAGCAAACAGGAUUAGAUACCCCAGUA
This 448-nucleotide ribosomal RNA is filed under the name uncultured bacterium. RNAcentral's name for it is "bacterial SSU rRNA". It matches the Rfam family "Bacterial small subunit ribosomal RNA", at positions 330 to 792 of the family's 1533-position model. The record is from RNAcentral.